GACCGCUGGGUAAGAAAGUUGGGUUAAUUUAACCCAAUUUUGGGUUAAAACUGGUCUUAAUUUAUAACCCAGCGGUGCUGGGUUAGGAACGCGGACUCGAGAGAGAGCAGGCACGUCGUGUCCACUGUACGUCAAAAAGUGCGAGAAGCGGCCAUUUUCUCAGCGUCUGCAGAUGGAAGCGAGUGAAGGACGAUUUUCGACUUGUUGAGCUUCGAGUCUUCAUUUUGUCCGCGCCGGGAGUUAACGGCAGGGAAGACCGCGUGUGAGAGGAGGCGAUCGGCUCGGCUUCUUCAGAAGAGACGGAAAGACAAAUAGAGAACUCAACUUUGAGGCUAACACCACAGGCACCUACUUGUGUGAGGAGGCGAUUUUUCUGAGCUUUAGAAAAGAGGGAAAAGUGAUUUAAGGCAA
Molecule: long non-coding RNA, 411 nt
Organism: Labeo rohita (rohu)
Lineage: Eukaryota; Metazoa; Chordata; Actinopteri; Cypriniformes; Cyprinidae
Exons: 3
Source: RefSeq, a predicted model, not a curated record